This 403-nucleotide ribosomal RNA is filed under the name Verrucomicrobiota bacterium. Its description in RNAcentral is "Verrucomicrobia bacterium partial 16S ribosomal RNA". It matches the Rfam family "Bacterial small subunit ribosomal RNA", at positions 355 to 776 of the family's 1533-position model. The record is from RNAcentral. Lineage: Bacteria; Pseudomonadati; Verrucomicrobiota.
UGGGGAAUAUUGCACAAUGGGGGAAACCCUGAUGCAGCGACGCCGCGUGAGCGAAGAAGGCUUUCGAGUCGUAAAGCUCUGUCCUAUGAGAAGAUAAUGACGGUAUCAUAGGAGGAAGCCCUGGCUAAAUACGUGCCAGCAGCCGCGGUAAUACGUAUGGGGCGAGCGUUGUCCGGAAUUAUUGGGCGUAAAGGGUACGUAGGUGGUUUUUUAAGUCAGGUGUCAAAGCGUGGAGCUUAACUCCAUUAAGCACUUGAAACUGAAAGACUUGAGUGAAGGAGAGGAAAGUGGAAGUCCUAGUGUAGCGGUGAAAUGCGUAGAUAUUAGGAGGAAUACCGGUGGCGAAGGCGACUUUCUGGACUUUUACUGACGCUCAGGUACGAAAGCGUGGGGAGCAAACAGG